CCUACGGGGGGCAGCAGUGAGGAAUAUUGGUCAAUGGCCGGAAGGCUGAACCAGCCAAGUAGCGUGCAGGAUGACUGCCUUAUGGGUUGUAAACUGCUUUUUUACGGGAAUAAUUAUGAUCACGUGUGAUUAUUUGCAUGUACCGUAAGAAUAAGGAUCGGCUAACUCCGUGCCAGCAGCCGCGGUAAUACGGAGGAUCCUAGUGUUAUCCGGAUUUAUUGGGUUUAAAGGGAGCGUAGGCGGGAGGUCAAGUCAGCUGUGAAAUGUAUCUGCUUAACGGGUACACUGCAGUUGAAACUGGUUUUCUUGAGUGCGUAAGAGGCAGGCGGAAUUCGUUGUGUAGCGGUGAAAUGCUUAGAUAUGACGAGGAACUCCUAUUGCGAAGGCAGCUUGCUGGGUCGUUACUGACGCUGAUGCUCGAAGGUGCGGGGAUCAAACAGGAUUAGAUACCCUGGUAGUCCGCACAGUAAACUAUGGAUACUCUCUGCCGGCGAUAUAUUGUCGGUAGCCAAGCGAAAGCGUUAAGUAUCCCACCUGGGGAGUACGUUCGCAAGAAUGAAACUCAAAGGAAUUGACGGGGGCCCGCACAAGCGGAGGAACAUGUGGUUUAAUUCGAUGAUACGCGAGGAACCUUACCCGGGUUUGAAUUGCUGAUGUCGGUAUUUGGAGACAGAUACUUCCCUUCGGGGCGUCAGUGAAGGUGCUGCAUGGUUGUCGUCAGCUCGUGCCGUGAGGUGUCGGCUUAAGUGCCAUAACGAGCGCAACCCUUGCCGUUAGUUGCCAUCGGGUCAUGCCGGGCACUCUAUUGGGACUGCCAUCGUAAGAUGUGA
This 830-nucleotide ribosomal RNA is filed under the name uncultured bacterium. RNAcentral describes it as "bacterial SSU rRNA". It matches the Rfam family "Bacterial small subunit ribosomal RNA", at positions 338 to 1167 of the family's 1533-position model. The record is from RNAcentral.